This 206-nucleotide ribosomal RNA is filed under the name Volvox carteri f. nagariensis. Its description in RNAcentral is "partial small subunit ribosomal RNA". The stretch from base 78 to 206 matches the Rfam family "Eukaryotic small subunit ribosomal RNA", at positions 844 to 972 of the family's 1831-position model. The record is from RNAcentral. RNAcentral also lists the same sequence under 1 other name. Lineage: Eukaryota; Viridiplantae; Chlorophyta; Chlorophyceae; Chlamydomonadales; Volvocaceae.
CCAGCUCCAAUAGCGUAUAUUUAAGUUGUUGCAGUUAAAAAGCUCGUAGUUGGAUUUCGGGUGGGGUGGUGCGGUCCUUGGUCUGUGGGACCGGAGUAAUGAUUAAGAGGGGUAGUCGGGGGCAUUCGUAUUCCGUUGUCAGAGGUGAAAUUCUUGGAUUUACGGAAGACGAACAUCUGCGAAAGCAUUUGCCAAGGAUACUUUCA